This 936-nucleotide ribosomal RNA is filed under the name Triticum aestivum (bread wheat). RNAcentral's name for it is "partial small subunit ribosomal RNA". The record is from RNAcentral. Lineage: Eukaryota; Viridiplantae; Streptophyta; Magnoliopsida; Poales; Poaceae.
AUGUCGAGGCCUCUGCUUGCAAUGGCCGCGGCGGCGAUCGUCGUCGCCUGCUGUUUCGCGGCGUGUCCGGUGGGCGCGGGCGCGAGCGCUGGUGGCUUCUACGACAACUUCGUGGUGAAGUGGGGCACGGACCCAGACCCUGACCGGCGGGUCGAGAUCGUCGACGGCGGCCGGCUCGUGACGAUCACCCUCAACAACGUCUCCGGCGCCGGGUUCCAGUCCCGGGACGCCUUCCUCUUCGGCGAGUUCACCAUGGAGAUGAAGCUCGUGCCCGGCGACUCCGCCGGCACGGUCACCACCUUCUACCUGACAUCGAAGGACCCGACGGCGGUGGGGGACGGGCACGACGAGAUCGACUUCGAGUUCCUGGGCAACGUCAGCGGGGAGCCGUACCUGAUGCAGACCAACGUGUUCGCGCAGGGCGUCGGGGGCAGGGAGCAGCGGUCCUACCUCUGGUUCGACCCGACAGAGGACUUCCACAACUACACAAUCCUGUGGAACCCUCUGAACAUCAUCUUCUCUGUGGACGGUGUGCCAGUGCGCGUGUUCCGGAACCACGACGCGAAUGGCGUGCCGUACCUGACCAGGCAGGCGAUGAAGGUGCACGCGACCAUCUGGGACGGCGAUACCUGGGCCACGCGCGGCGGCCGGGUCAAGAUCGACUGGGCGCACGCGCCCUUCGUCGCCUCCUACGGGACCUACGCCGCCAGCGCCUGCGUCUCCGCGGCCGGCAACGGCGAUCAGGACGGAGCGCCGUCGGCCUUCUGCUGCCCGGGCGACGCCCCGUCGUGGAUGGCCCGGCGGCUGGGGCCGGACGGCGAGCGCGCGGUGGCGUGGGCGCGCGACAAGUACAUGGUGAUGGACUACUGCGACGACCCCUGGAACCUCGGCCGCCCCGCCGAGUGCGACAUGGACAGCCUCGCCUCAGCCGUGUGA